CCUACGUGUGGCAGCAGUGAGGAAUAUUGGUCAAUGGGCGGGAGCCUGAACCAGCCAAGUCGCGUGAGGGAAGACGGUCCUACGGAUUGUAAAUCUCUUUUGCCGGGGAGCAACGGGGUCCUUGCGAGGGCCCGAUGAUAGUACCCGGAGACAAAGCAUCGGCUAACUCCGUGCCAGCAGCCGCGGAAAUACGGAGGAUGCGAGCGUUAUCCGGAUUUAUUGGGUUUAAAGGGUGCGUAGGCGGGCUGUUAAGUCAGCGGUCAAAUGUCGGGGCGCAACGCAGGCCUGCCGUUGAAACUGGCGGCCUAGAGUGGGCGAGAAGUAUGCGGAAUGCGUGGUGUAGCGGUGAAAUGCAUAGAUAUCACGCAGAACUCCGAUGGCGAAGGCAGCAUACCGGCGCACGACUGACGCUGAGGCACGAAAGCGUGGGUAUCGAACAGGAGUAGAUACCCUGGUAGUC
Molecule: ribosomal RNA, 460 nt
Filed under: uncultured bacterium
Lineage: Bacteria
Description: partial 16S ribosomal RNA
Rfam family: Bacterial small subunit ribosomal RNA
Source: RNAcentral